CCACCUCGAGUCCCACUCUCUCAGGGGAAGUCAGUGGCUUUGCCGGUCGCCAGUCCGGGGAGGGUCCCCCUUUGGCCCCGGCACCUUCUUUCGGUGCGCGCCCAUCGCCUCCUCCCCUGGGCCGAGCCCACGGGCCCCGGGCCCCCGGCGCUCUUCCCGGGCCUCGCCGGUGGCGGCGGAGCUGUCCCCGAGCUCCUCCUCGGCCGGCGAUCCGUCCCCGCACCGCCACCGCGGCCGCCAGGGUCUCCCCGCCGGCCUCAGCCCGGCCCCGCGGCGUCCACGUGGCCCGCAGAGCUACCUUCGGCGGCAGAAAGCCCCGCCGGGCCGGACCAGCCGAGGCCCGAGAGGGCGCGAGGACGCGGCGCGGGGCGGGCCGAGCGGAGGAAGGGGAGGGCCGUGCGCCCGGCGGCCGGGAGGCGGCCCCGCCCGUGGCCCCGCCCCGCUCCCGUUACUCUCGGGAAGGUUUCCGAGGCCGCUCCCAUCCUCACCCCACCUCCCGGCCCGGCACUGGCCUCGCCGCCGGAGCCCCACUAUGCCAGACGGUUUCGACACUUCGCAAAGACAAAGAGCCCCCGAGCAGAGCGAGGAGAGAGAGCAGGAAGGCGAGGACACAGAGGCGCCGGGGGCGAUGUGAGCCGCGGGGUCUUGCGAUGUUGGCUGCUGCAGUCUUGGCGUCUGUCUGGGAUCUUCCUGCUGAUGUCCAUUCACGGAACGCCACACCCUGGACUUCCUGGGCUCAUUGUACCUAAAUGAGACUUUGAGGCCACUGUUAGCAUAAGUACUGCCGCAGUUGAGAUGACUGAAGCUGGACAAGCUUCCCGUUGCCUGCAAGGCACCCCGGAUGCCCAUUCCACUUCCUUGGCUGGAAACGCCAGUGGCAGGCAGCCGGUAACUCUGAGGACUGUGCCGAGCAAAGGGACGAGUCUGCCUGGGGACCGGGGAUGGACAGCCCCUUGGCCUUCUGAGGGCCUGCCUGAGCUGUCCUGAGAGCCAAGCCAUCACUGUGUGCAGAACCUGGGGCGCAGCCAUCGCAGAGCCCCGGAGCCCCCAGCAGAUGUGCUUCCUUGUCCCUGCUCCCUGUACUGUCCUCUGGCUCCCUCCACCCACUCUGCACCAGGACACCGCUGUGCAACUUUGUCCACAGCUACCUCUGCCAGGCCCUGCUCUGACAGCAUCCUGCAUGGCC
Molecule: long non-coding RNA, 1186 nt
Filed under: Heterocephalus glaber (naked mole-rat)
Lineage: Eukaryota; Metazoa; Chordata; Mammalia; Rodentia; Bathyergidae
Description: lncRNA (ENSHGLG00000035306.1)
Source: RNAcentral